This 458-nucleotide ribosomal RNA is filed under the name Salmonella enterica. RNAcentral describes it as "bacterial SSU rRNA". It matches the Rfam family "Bacterial small subunit ribosomal RNA", at positions 1 to 455 of the family's 1533-position model. Lineage: Bacteria; Pseudomonadati; Pseudomonadota; Gammaproteobacteria; Enterobacterales; Enterobacteriaceae. The record is from RNAcentral.
AAAUUGAAGAGUUUGAUCAUGGCUCAGAUUGAACGCUGGCGGCAGGCCUAACACAUGCAAGUCGAACGGUAACAGGAAGCAGCUUGCUGCUUUGCUGACGAGUGGCGGACGGGUGAGUAAUGUCUGGGAAACUGCCUGAUGGAGGGGGAUAACUACUGGAAACGGUGGCUAAUACCGCAUAACGUCGCAAGACCAAAGAGGGGGACCUUCGGGCCUCUUGCCAUCAGAUGUGCCCAGAUGGGAUUAGCUUGUUGGUGAGGUAACGGCUCACCAAGGCGACGAUCCCUAGCUGGUCUGAGAGGAUGACCAGCCACACUGGAACUGAGACACGGUUCAGACUCCUACGGGAGGCAGCAGUGGGGAAUAUUGCACAAUGGGCGCAAGCCUGAUGCAGCCAUGCCGCGUGUAUGAAGAAGGCCUUCGGGUUGUAAAGUACUUUCAGCGGGGAGGAAGGUGUU